RNAcentral lists this ribosomal RNA (848 nucleotides) under Salmonella enterica subsp. enterica serovar Kentucky. Its description in RNAcentral is "partial 23S ribosomal RNA". It matches the Rfam family "Bacterial large subunit ribosomal RNA", at positions 670 to 1519 of the family's 2925-position model. The record is from RNAcentral. Lineage: Bacteria; Pseudomonadati; Pseudomonadota; Gammaproteobacteria; Enterobacterales; Enterobacteriaceae.
AGGGAAACCGAGUCUUAACUGGGCGUUAAGUUGCAGGGUAUAGACCCGAAACCCGGUGAUCUAGCCAUGGGCAGGUUGAAGGUUGGGUAACACUAACUGGAGGACCGAACCGACUAAUGUUGAAAAAUUAGCGGAUGACUUGUGGCUGGGGGUGAAAGGCCAAUCAAACCGGGAGAUAGCUGGUUCUCCCCGAAAGCUAUUUAGGUAGCGCCUCGUGAACUCAUCUUCGGGGGUAGAGCACUGUUUCGGCUAGGGGGUCAUCCCGACUUACCAACCCGAUGCAAACUGCGAAUACCGAAGAAUGUUAUCACGGGAGACACACGGCGGGUGCUAACGUCCGUCGUGAAGAGGGAAACAACCCAGACCGCCAGCUAAGGUCCCAAAGUCACAGUUAAGUGGGAAACGAUGUGGGAAGGCUCAGACAGCCAGGAUGUUGGCUUAGAAGCAGCCAUCAUUUAAAGAAAGCGUAAUAGCUCACUGGUCGAGUCGGCCUGCGCGGAAGAUGUAACGGGGCUAAACUGUGCACCGAAGCUGCGGCAGCGACGCUUAUGCGUUGUUGGGUAGGGGAGCGUUCUGUAAGCCUGCGAAGGUGUCCUGUGAGGGAUGCUGGAGGUAUCAGAAGUGCGAAUGCUGACAUAAGUAACGAUAAUGCGGGUGAAAAGCCCGCUCGCCGGAAGACCAAGGGUUCCUGUCCAACGUUAAUCGGGGCAGGGUGAGUCGACCCCUAAGGCGAGGCCGAAAGGCGUAGUCGAUGGGAAACGGGUUAAUAUUCCCGUACUUGGUGUUACUGCGAAGGGGGGACGGAGAAGGCUAUGUUGGCCGGGCGACGGUUGUCCCGGUUUAAGCGU